GUGAAGACACCUCGUAUAAAACCACUGGACCACUAAUGCCAGCAUAUUAAAGCUGAUAAAAUGGAGGAACAGUGGUGGUGGUCGCAACUUCAGUUUACCAGAUGCGAGACUCUCCUGAGGGCAGAGUAGCAGAGCCAUGGCGGUUCACUGUUAGUGAAGGAGGUACUGGUCCAGAGCCUGGUAGAGAGAAUGAAGACAAUACAAAUGGAA
Pygocentrus nattereri (red-bellied piranha) is the source of this 210-nucleotide long non-coding RNA. RefSeq lists it as uncharacterized. Lineage: Eukaryota; Metazoa; Chordata; Actinopteri; Characiformes; Serrasalmidae. The transcript has 3 exons. The record is from RefSeq and is a predicted model, not a curated record.